AGUGAACGCUGGCGGUAGGCCUAACACAUGCAAGUCGAACGGCAGCACAGUAAGAGCUUGCUCUUACGGGUGGCGAGUGGCGGACGGGGGAGGAAUACAUCGGAAUCUACUUGUUCGUGGGGGAUAACGUAGGGAAACUUACGCUAAUACCGCAUACGACCUACGGGUGAAAGCAGGGGAUCUUCGGACCUUGCGCGAGUGAAUGAGCCGAUGUCGGAUUAGCUAGUUGGCGGGGUAAAGGCCCACCAAGGCGACGAUCCGUAGCUGGUCUGAGAGGAUGAUCAGCCACACUGGAACUGAGACACGGUCCAGACUCCUACGGGAGGCAGCAGUGGGGAAUAUUGGACAAUGGGCGAAAGCCUGAUCCAGCCAUACCGCGUGGGUGAAGAAGGCCUUCGGGUUGUAAAGCCCUUUUGUUGGGAAAGAAAAGCAGCAGGUUAAUACCCCGCUGUUCUGACGGUACCCAAAGAAUAAGCACCGGCUAACUUCGUG
This 492-nucleotide ribosomal RNA is filed under the name uncultured bacterium. Its description in RNAcentral is "partial 16S ribosomal RNA". It matches the Rfam family "Bacterial small subunit ribosomal RNA", at positions 29 to 507 of the family's 1533-position model. The record is from RNAcentral.